ACUCAAAGGAAUUGACGGGGGCCCGCACAAGCAGUGGAGUAUGUGGUUUAAUUCGAAGCAACGCGAAGAACCUUACCAGGACUUGACAUACCAUUGACCGGUCUAGAGAUAGACCUUUCCUUCGGGACAAUGGAUACAGGUGGUGCAUGGUUGUCGUCAGCUCGUGUCGUGAGAUGUUGGGUUAAGUCCCGCAACGAGCGCAACCCCUGUUGUUAGUUGCCAUCAUUUAAGGUGGGCACUCUAGCAAGACUGCCGGUGACAAAUCGGAGGAAGGUGGGGACGACGUCAAAUCAUCAUGCCCCUUAUGUCCUGGGCUACACACGUACUACAAUGGCUAUUACAGCAGGAAGCAAUAUCGUAAGAUGGAGCAAAUCCUCAAAAAUAGUCCCAGUUCAGAUUGUGGGCUGAAACUCGCCCACAUGAAGUCGGAAUUGCUAGUAAUUGCAGGUCAGCAUACUGCAGUGAAUACGUUCCCGGGCCUUGCACACACCGCCCGU
RNAcentral lists this ribosomal RNA (497 nucleotides) under uncultured bacterium. RNAcentral's name for it is "partial 16S ribosomal RNA". It matches the Rfam family "Bacterial small subunit ribosomal RNA", at positions 899 to 1397 of the family's 1533-position model. The record is from RNAcentral.